ACUCCUACGGGAGGCAGCAGUCGAGAAGCUUCGGCAAUGGGCGAAAGCCUGACCGAGCGAUGCCGCGUGAGUGAAGAAGGCCCUAUGGGUUGUAAAGCUCCGUCAGAUUGGGAAGAAAAUCCUGCGGUUAAUACCCGUAGGACUUGACGGUACCAUCAGAGGAAGCACCGGCUAACUCCGUGCCAGCAGCCGCGGUAAUACGGAGGGUGCAAGCGUUGUUCGGAUUCACUGGGUAUAAAGGGUGCGCAGGCGGCCCGAUAAGUCAGGGGUGAAAUAUGACGGCUCAACCGUCAAACUGCCCCUGAAACUGUCAGGCUUGAGUUCGAGAGAGGUAGGUGGAAUUCCAGGUGUAGCGGUGAAAUGCGUAAAUAUCUGGAGGAACACCGGUGGCGAAGGCGGCCUACUGGCUCGAUACUGACGCUCAGGCACGAAAGCAUGGGGAGCGAACGGGAUUAGAUACCCCGGUAGUCCAUGCCGUAAACGAUGGGUACUAGGUGUUGGAGGAUUCUACCCCUUCAGUGCCGCAGCUAACGCAUUAAGUACCCCACCUGGGGAGUACGAUCGCAAGGUUGAAACUCAAAGGAAUUGACGGGGGCCCGCACAAGCGGUGGAGCAUGUGGUUUAAUUCGAUGCAACGCGAAGAACCUUACCUGGGCUUGACAUGCAGGGGACAGAUGUAGAAAUACAUCCUUCUUCGGACUCUUGUACAGGUGCUGCAUGGCUGUCGUCAGCUCGUGUCGUGAGAUGUUGGGUUAAGUCCCGCAACGAGCGCAACCCUCGUCUUUAGUUGCCAGCAGGUUAAGCUGGGCACUCUAAAGAGACUGCCUUCGCAAGGAGGAGGAAGGUGANGACGACGUCAGUCAUCAUGGNCCUUAUGGCUAGGGCUGCACACGUGCUACAANGGGGNCGUACAGA
Molecule: ribosomal RNA, 915 nt
Filed under: uncultured bacterium
Lineage: Bacteria
Description: bacterial SSU rRNA
Rfam family: Bacterial small subunit ribosomal RNA
Source: RNAcentral